Molecule: ribosomal RNA, 553 nt
Filed under: uncultured bacterium
Lineage: Bacteria
Description: partial 16S ribosomal RNA
Rfam family: Bacterial small subunit ribosomal RNA
Source: RNAcentral
UAGGGAAUCUUCCACAAUGGACGCAAGUCUGAUGGAGCAACGCCGCGUGAGUGAAGAAGGUUUUCGGACCGUAAAGCUCUGUUGUUGGUGAAGAAGGAUAGAGGUAGUAACUGGCCUUUAUUUGACGGUAAUCAACCAGAAAGUCACGGCUAACUACGUGCCAGCAGCCGCGGUAAUACGUAGGUGGCAAGCGUUGUCCGGAUUUAUUGGGCGUAAAGCGAGCGCAGGCGGAAGAAUAAGUCUGAUGUGAAGCCCUUGGCUUAACCGAGGAAUUGCAUCGGAAACUGUUUUCUUGAGUGCAGAAGAGGAGAGUAGAACUCCAUGUGUAGCGGUGGAAUGCGUAGAUAUAUGGAAGAAUACCAGUGGCGAAGGCGGCUCUCUGGUCUGCAACUGACGCUGAGGCUCGAAAGCAUGGGUAGCGAACAGGAUUAGAUACCCUGGUAGUCCAUGCCGUAAACGAUGAGUGCUAAGUGUUGGGAGGCUUCCGCCUCUCAGUGCUGCAGCUAACGCAUUAAGCACUCCGCCUGGGGGAGUACGACCGCAAGGUUGAAAC